Molecule: ribosomal RNA, 498 nt
Filed under: uncultured bacterium
Lineage: Bacteria
Description: partial 16S ribosomal RNA
Rfam family: Bacterial small subunit ribosomal RNA
Source: RNAcentral
AUUGAACGCUGGCGGCAUGCCUUACACAUGCAAGUCGAACGGUAACAGGUCUUCGGAUGCUGACGAGUGGCGAACGGGUGAGUAAUACAUCGGAACGUGCCUAGUAGUGGGGGAUAACUACUCGAAAGAGUGGCUAAUACCGCAUGAGAUCUACGGAUGAAAGCAGGGGAUCGCAAGACCUUGUGCUACUAGAGCGGCCGAUGGCAGAUUAGGUAGUUGGUGGGAUAAAAGCUUACCAAGCCGACGAUCUGUAGCUGGUCUGAGAGGACGAUCAGCCACACUGGGACUGAGACACGGCCCAGACUCCUACGGGAGGCAGCAGUGGGGAAUUUUGGACAAUGGGCGCAAGCCUGAUCCAGCAAUGCCGCGUGCAGGAUGAAGGCCUUCGGGUUGUAAACUGCUUUUGUACGGAACGAAAAGCCCUGGGUUAAUACCCUGGGGUCAUGACGGUACCGUAAGAAUAAGCACCGGCUAACUACGUGCCAGCAGCCGCAGUAA